RNAcentral lists this long non-coding RNA (235 nucleotides) under Capsicum annuum. RNAcentral's name for it is "long non-coding RNA (CANN_LNC013997)". Lineage: Eukaryota; Viridiplantae; Streptophyta; Magnoliopsida; Solanales; Solanaceae. The record is from RNAcentral.
UCAGUUCGAUUUUUACUAGGUUAUUGAGUUGUAAUUAUGUUACCUAGAAGCUGUUGUGGAUUCUUUUUUUUGUUUAUUAGAAAAUAAUUUGCCUCAAGUCGAAGUAGUUUUAAGGGGAAGGAUGCAACGAUGGAGCGAUUGUUGGGGCGAGAGUGAGUUAAAUCUUAGGAUGUAAGUGAUGUGAUUCGAAUUUGAAGCUCAUUUGUUUGAGUGGAGUUUCAAGUGGAUAGAUCAU